Molecule: ribosomal RNA, 710 nt
Filed under: Enterobacter sp. REICA_154
Lineage: Bacteria; Pseudomonadati; Pseudomonadota; Gammaproteobacteria; Enterobacterales; Enterobacteriaceae
Description: bacterial SSU rRNA
Rfam family: Bacterial small subunit ribosomal RNA
Source: RNAcentral
GAUCUUGGGAACUGCAUUCGAAACUGGCAGGCUGGAGUCUCGUAGAGGGAGGUAGCAAUUCCAGGUGUAGCGGUGAAAUGCGUAGAGAUCUGGAGGAAUACCAGUGGCGAAGGCGGCCUCCUGGACGAAGACUGACGCUCAGGUGCGAAAGCGUGGGGAGCAAACAGGAUUAGAUACCAUGGUAGUCCACGCUGUAAACGAUGUCGAUUUGGAGGUUGUGCCCUUGAGGCGUGGCUUCCGGAGCUAACGCGUUAAAUCGACCGCCUGGGGAGUACGGCCGCAAGGUUAAAACUCAAAUGAAUUGACGGGGGCCCGCACAAGCGGUGGAGCAUGUGGUUUAAUUCGAUGCAACGCGAAGAACCUUACCUGGUCUUGACAUCCACAGAAGUUUCCAGAGAUGGGAAUGUGCCUUCGGGAACUGUGAGACAGGUGAUGCAUGGCUGUCGUCAGCUCGUGUUGUGAAAUGUUGGGUUAAGUCCCGCAACGAGCGCAACCCUUAUCCUUUGUUGCCAGCGGUCCGGCCGGGAACUCAAAGGAGACUGCCAGUGAUAAACUGGAGGAAGGUGGGGAUGACGUCAAGUCAUCAUGGCCCUUACGACCAGGGCUACACACGUGCUACAAUGGCGCAUACAAAGAGAAGCGACCUCGCGAGAGCAAGCGGACCUCAUAAAGUGACUCGUAGUCCGGAUUGGAGUCUGCAACUCGACUCC